UCUCUCCCCUCAAACUUGCCCAUACGUACUCCUCACCCACUCCACCAUAUAAGGCUUUUUGAGGAAGCAAGUUGGAGUUGGCUGUCUCUCUCACUCUCUCUCUUAGGCUCCCUUUUUCCCCUUUGGAUCCCUACCUCUGGGAGCAAGAUCAAGCAAGGAAGCAGCAGUUUUUCCUCUCUUCUCCAAGCCAUUUUCCGUCGUUUCCUCCUUCAACUGGCGGUCACCAACCUCAGCAAAGGACCUUAGUGAACGUCGAUCCGUCGAUCCCGGAGGCCGUGGGCGAUCGUGAGGCGUCCCACCUUUCUGAUUCAGGGCAGCAAGGCAAGCAUCGUUCAUAUUGCACCGUGUCUACUUGAAAUUUUAAUAUGUUAUCUACGCUUAUGUAUACAUUGCAUGUGUCGGGUACUGAGUUGGGUAGAACCUAUACCGAUGCAUUAUCCCAUUUCGGUCACGUGUCAUGUGUUGUUCCUAGGAGCCUAGUGGUGUCAUCGAGGUCUAAUUUUAGUUCGCUAUGCUUAGUGGUACUUAGGCUUUCCGGUAGAAGUCGACGACGGCGUCCACCGUUGUCGCGAGCCUAGGACUUAUUACUUGUUCGCACUUAUGGUUGUGUUGAUGAUGAGUCGGUUUGGUGAGUGGUGAGUUGAGACGAGGUGUGGGCGGUGUUAGGGGUGUCAUCUGCUCACGAGGAGUCCUCAGGCAGUUCGGGGAGGGAACCCGGACACCGUAGACCGCUUGCACCGGUUAAGCACCGAUUAUCGGUGUAGUCGGCUUUAGCACAUACCUUACUCACCACAUGCUGAUAUAAUGGUAGGCGAGCCGAUUACCUUCGCAGACGUGGUCAUGUGGGCCUCGUCAUAGACGGUGUGAGUCCGGUUUGAGUCCGGGCUUUUAGCGGUAUUAGUUUGCUCGGGGAGUAGUUCUAAUACCGCCGUGCCGAGCUAUGGUUGAUCCACAUGGUUGGGCCUGGUUGGGAAAGGUUGUCACGGGUACCCCCUUGUGCGCAUCUUAGCGGGUGGCACAAGCCGUAUGGUCCCUGUGUCGUGUGGGUCCAGGAGUAUCCCCCUGCAGGGUGUAUUAUCAGUUCGAACUG
Molecule: long non-coding RNA, 1090 nt
Organism: Phragmites australis (common reed)
Lineage: Eukaryota; Viridiplantae; Streptophyta; Magnoliopsida; Poales; Poaceae
Exons: 3
Source: RefSeq, a predicted model, not a curated record